This is a transfer RNA of Culex pipiens (northern house mosquito), 74 nucleotides long. It matches the Rfam family "tRNA". From Rfam's summary of the family: Transfer RNA (tRNA) molecules are approximately 80 nucleotides in length. Their secondary structure includes four short double-helical elements and three loops (D, anti-codon, and T loops). NCBI's taxonomy places the organism in Eukaryota, Metazoa, Arthropoda, Insecta, Diptera, Culicidae. The record is from Rfam.
GCCCGUGUGGAUCAAUCGGACCGAGCACUGGACUCACAAUCCUGAGGUCGCUGGUUCGAAUCCCACGGCGGGCG